This 22-nucleotide microRNA is filed under the name Salmo salar (Atlantic salmon). RNAcentral's name for it is "ssa-miR-18a-5p". Its record names the gene ssa-miR-18a-5p. The record is from miRBase by way of RNAcentral. Lineage: Eukaryota; Metazoa; Chordata; Actinopteri; Salmoniformes; Salmonidae. RNAcentral also lists the same sequence under 3 other names.
UAAGGUGCAUCUAGUGUAGUUA